CUAUGGGGGGCACCAGUGAGGAAUAUUGCACAAUGGGGGAAACCCUGAUGCAGCAACGCCGCGUGGAGGAUGACGCAUUUCGGUGUGUAAACUCCUUUUAUCAGAGAAGAAAAUGACGGUAUCUGAUGAAUAAGCUCCGGCUAACUCCGUGCCAGCAGCCGCGGUAAUACGGAGGGAGCAAGCGUUAUUCGGAAUCACUGGGCGUAAAGGACGCGUAGGCGGGUUUUUAAGUCAGGUGUGAAAUCCUAUGGCUCAACCAUAGAACUGCACUUGAAACUGGGGGCCUAGAGUAUGGAAGGGGCAGGUGGAAUUAGUGGUGUAGGGGUAAAAUCCGUAGAUAUCACUAGGAAUACCGAAAGCGAAGGCGACCUGCUGGGACAUUACUGACGCUGAGGCGUGAAAGCGUGGGGAGCAAACAGGAUUAGAUACCCGUGUAGUC
RNAcentral lists this ribosomal RNA (439 nucleotides) under uncultured bacterium. Its description in RNAcentral is "partial 16S ribosomal RNA". It matches the Rfam family "Bacterial small subunit ribosomal RNA", at positions 339 to 795 of the family's 1533-position model. The record is from RNAcentral.